Long non-coding RNA from Mus musculus (house mouse), 3643 nucleotides. RefSeq annotates it as predicted gene 13398. The transcript is spliced from 3 exons. Lineage: Eukaryota; Metazoa; Chordata; Mammalia; Rodentia; Muridae. The record is from RefSeq and is a predicted model, not a curated record.
ACAGAUGGUUGUGAGCUACCAUGUGGUUGCGGGAUUUGAACUCAGGACCUCUGGAAGAGCAGUCAGUGGUCUUACCUAAGUCACCUCUCCAGUCCAACACUUCUUCUUUUAAAGUGAACAAUUUGAUGUGCAUCCAUCGCAAAGGUUAUUGGCCUCUGUAAGGAACUUUAAGGUUGUUCUCUUGCUGGGGGCUUGCUGCAUUCUCUUGCUUGUGUCGGACUCAGUCAGUUGUCUGGGAACUUAGCCUUUGAUUAGGUGUGAAGGCUUUCCCUCUGCUUACCCUGUGCCCUGUACAGUACUGGGCACCACAGCAUCUGGAAGCCCCUUGCUGAAUUGAUCUCAAUCUCCUUCUCUUCCUAACCCUGCCACUGCGCAGUGUGAGACUCUGCGCAACCGGCCAUGGGUGAAGGCUGGCCCCGGGGGUGGGGGGUGGGGGGGCAGCUCUUCUCUGAGACACUAGCUGCUCUACUCUGUGGACACACCCACAAGGGUGGAGGCACAGCACUUGGAGGAGUCCCUGUUUCCUAUAGCCCAGCUCUAUCUAGCUCCUCCCAGGCAUGCCCCUCCCCAGAGGUGGGCAGUACUGAACAAAGGCCUCAGCUGGAUCUAUUCAGAGGAGGUGGUAGAGGGGCAAGCUCUCCCAGGAUAUGAGACCCCUAUGGCUGGAAGGACACUAAAUCUCAACAGGCCUUCCAUGAGGGGUUCUACCCUGCCCCAAAGAAGGGACUCUUAAGACUGCUUGCCUGGAAGCCACCUGCUAUAAUCCAAGUGUGUCUGGAGGCCACAGUUGACUUUGCAGACUCUUGGAGCCUCUUGUCUCUCAUCUCUAAGGUAGCUAGCUGGAACGUGGAAUCCAUGUCACCUAUGAGCCGCCCUGGACCCCCAGAGGAGAAGGUCUCUGAAACCCAGUUGUCCGGGGUUCCCGACGCCCCUGAAGAUGCUCCUGGUGAUGACAUAGAUGGUGCAGAGGAUUCAGACUUGGUGCCCUCUGUCACCCUGGCUGCAGCCCUCAUCCUAGUGUUCCUCCUGAUGUCAUUCUGGCUAGCAUAGCCACCCUGUCAAACCUCCUGCCACCCUGCUAAGCUUCCUACUAAGUGGGUUCCUGAGCAGAGGACAGCAGGACAGCUGGGCUCCUAGCUCUGCUCUGGGUCGAUGGCAUUCAGUGCUGUGUGAGACCUGUCGAAGGAGGACCCCGUGGGAGGCUACAGCCUGGACCCCUAUGUUUAGGCAGCUCAUGUUCAUUCCUCUGGUCUGCUUCCAUUGAUAAGAACAGCUGUGUUCCCCAUCUUUGGGAAGCCAUGCUGGGGGCUUCAGAUAAAGCUGAAUGACUCCAGGCAUUUGUAUCAAUGAGUGGGAGUAACUGUGUGGUCAGUCUUUCUAUUCUGGGCCUCAGUUUCCCCAGUUUUCAAGGUGGGCUGGUAGUGCCUGUUUCUUGGAAUUUUGAGGAAGAUGUCCAGUGAGUGGCCUUCUGUGGUCACGCUGAUCUAUACUCCCCCAACACACCAGCCUCUGAGCACUCACCCAAAAGAUUCAUGGGAAAGGGGCAAAGGAGCUGCCUCCAAAGGAUGCACUGGUCUCAUCUGCCACCUGGUGGUCAAAGAUAGAAUUGCACUUGCAUAGAGGUUUGGAGCGUUCCAAGGGUGGGCUUUUUUUUUUUUUUUUCCUUUCUUUUUUGAGAUGUGAAGUUUGAGAUUUUUUUUCAUGAGCAAGGAUCCCGCUGCCAAGUGAAAGCUGUUUUGACAUUUGCUGCUGCUAUCUGUUCCCCAUCUCUGUCUUUGAUCUAAAAGCCAUUAGAGAGGCGGCAACUCUCCUGUUUUAAGGCAGGAUUAUGGGUGGUUCCCUUCUCAGGACACCAUGCCUUCCUGCCUUCAGCAGCCUGAGUUCCACAAGAGACUUUCCUCUCAGGCAUGACUGCUUUUCAGGUAGGGAUCUGCUGGUUGGGUCUGGAAGGACAAGGCCAUGGUACAAACAUAUCUAGAGAACCCUGCAGUUAUCCACAUCCCACUGCUCUGCCAAGCCUAGGGGAAGAGGGUACUGAAGCAUUCAGAGAACGGCCCAGGUGGCCCAGGAUUGCUAUGGCCUGGCUGGUGGCCAGAGACUGUCAGGAGGCUCUGGGGUGUCUCCAGGAGAGCUGCCUCAGACAGUGGGGUGUUUAUGUUCUCCAGAUGCCAACCUUCCUUCCAGGAACUUGGGGUCUUGGAGGGGAGGAGUGAAGAUGGGUCUGAGCUCUGGUUUCUGAACUAUUCUGUGCCCAUGCCAGGGUCCCAGUAGAGGGCGCUGCUCCCUCCUGGGAAUGUGAAGCACAUGACUGUGUGCCCCACUGGGGACAAAGCCCUCUGCUCCAGGUUGACAGCAGUCUUAGUCCAACACUUGGGUCCUGUAGUCUCAGGCAAUAUGAGAAGUGAGCAGGAGCUUUAGGUGGCCUCAGAGUCUUGGAGGAGUAUAGGUGUAGUCCUUGAAGCAAUGGUGACAGGCACUUUGGCUGGUAGAGAGUUGGAUGAUGCUUUCCCACCAGCUGGAUAGGAGGCGGCAUGCGGGGGGCCAGGGUGUCCAAGCAAAGAGGAAAGUGGGACUCUCAGUGGGCCGCUGUGGGGUAGACCUCCACAGUGAGGCUCUGAGCAUGAGAAGUAGCAGGGCCUUAAGUAUGGCUCCCGCAGCCUCUGACCUUCUUCUCUUACCCCUAUUUAUCCCUGCUGGAGGAGAGAAGCUGAAGCCAGACACCUGGUCCCUCUUGUUCUCUGGGUUUCUACUCUUGUGCCUUUGGGUGCAGCUGGUUAGUGAACAAGUCUGACCUCUUUGGAAUUUAGCACAAGUUGUCACUUUCUAUCUGGUGUGACCCCAAGCCCCUCUUCCCUCCUGACACCUGCCCACCUGUGAAGCUGACCAGACGCGAAGCUAGAACAUCAGUGCCCUUUCCCUCGACGACUGCGCUCACCGCUGUCCUUUCUGUCAGGCAUGGAUGGCAGCAGCAUCCUGGAAAUCGUGACGACUGCAGGCUUCGGGGAGCUCAGGAGAGCUGGGCCGUGGACAGAAGCUCUUCCAGGCUUGCCUGCCUGAAAUCCAGGUUCUACCACAGUUCCAGUGCCAACAAGCUACCCAUGCAGGCCAGGGCAAGUGCAUGCAUUGUUAAAUAGGACUCAUGAAAAUGCCCUGUGGUUUCCAGGUCUCCAGUGGCCAGCUCGCUCUGUCUGGCCCCAUUCCUGGAUUCUCAGUGCCCAGCCCAUCAGCACAAAGUACCUGGGGAGAAUGCAGGCCAGGAAGAAAUUGCAUCUGCAAGGAAAAUAUUGUUUUAUAGAAUUCAGUGGCCCAUUCUGUAAACAUUGUGGUUCUGCCUCAGGUUUUUUUCCUGCCUGUCUUCAGGGAGCACCUCCAGGGAGCACCUCCAGGGAGCACCAGGGAGCACUGGGCAGCCAGAUGCCUGAGCUUAGGAAAAUAUGUGCUUUGGGUGAGUUGGCUGUUGCACAGGAUGGACUUGGGGACUUUACCAGGCAUGUGAGAGAAUCCAGGAGUGGUGCUGGUUGGAGUUUUCCUCCAGAGGCUUAUAGAGAGACAGUGUAUGGAUACACACGUGGAUAUGAAUGUUUGUCUAUGUACAUCUGUAUUUAUGUAUGCAUGAGGAUAAUUAUACAUGUGUAUGCAUUUA